Long non-coding RNA from Crotalus tigris (Tiger rattlesnake), 325 nucleotides. RefSeq lists it as uncharacterized. The record is from RefSeq and is a predicted model, not a curated record. The transcript is spliced from 3 exons. Lineage: Eukaryota; Metazoa; Chordata; Lepidosauria; Squamata; Viperidae.
UGUGGGAAGCUUGCAGGGAGAAAGUCAAUGGGCAUGUCAGCAUGAAGUAGAAAGCCCAAGGUCAGGAGGCAGGAAAAGGAAUGCUCUUCACCUCUGACCCUCGGCCAAGAUUCCUUCCUGUAUUAGUGGUUACAGAUGACAAGACAUCACAAGAGAAGCAUCUUCAGCCAAAACAGAUAUGAUGGAAGGGUUGGCUUGGUGCCUGAAGUCUGAAGUCAGGGUAUGGCUGGAGAGGAACUGGCUGAAUGCCGCCAAACGGAGUGGCUUUGACUUUAAGGUAUGAAUGAUUCUGUGGAAAUUCAAUAUCUGGCUCUGAACAGGGUUU